Molecule: ribosomal RNA, 153 nt
Filed under: Phalansterium solitarium
Lineage: Eukaryota; Evosea; Variosea
Description: 5.8S ribosomal RNA
Rfam family: 5.8S ribosomal RNA
About the family: 5.8S ribosomal RNA (5.8S rRNA) is a component of the large subunit of the eukaryotic ribosome. It is transcribed by RNA polymerase I as part of the 45S precursor that also contains 18S and 28S rRNA. Functionally, it is thought that 5.8S rRNA may be involved in ribosome translocation.
Source: RNAcentral
CUUUUGACAACGGAUAUCUUGGUUCUCGCAACGAUGAAGAGCGCAGCGAAAUGCGAUACGUAAUGUGAAUUGCAGAAUUCAGUGAAUCAUCAAAUCCUUGAACGCAACUUGCGCUCGUGAGUCCUCUCACGAGCAUGCCUGUUUGAGUGUCGG